This 466-nucleotide ribosomal RNA is filed under the name uncultured bacterium. RNAcentral's name for it is "partial 16S ribosomal RNA". It matches the Rfam family "Bacterial small subunit ribosomal RNA", at positions 28 to 507 of the family's 1533-position model. The record is from RNAcentral.
GAUGAACGCUGGCGGCGUGCUUAACACAUGCAAGUCGAACGAUGAAGCUCAGCUUGCUGGGUGGAUUAGUGGCGAACGGGUGAGUAACACGUGAGUAACCUGCCCUUAACUCUGGGAUAAGCCUGGGAAACUAGGUCUAAUACCGGAUAGGAGCGCCUACCGCAUGGUGGGUGUUGGAAAAAUUUAUCGGUCUUGGAUGGACUCGGGGCCUAUCGCCUUGUUGGUGAGGUAGUGGCUCACCAAGGCGACGACGGGUAGCCGGCCUGAGAGGGAGACCGGCCACACUGGGACUGCGACACGGCGCAGACUCCUACGGGAGGCAGAAGUGGGGAAUAUUGCACAAUGGGCGAAAGCCUGAUGCAGCGACGCCGCGUGAGGGAUGACGGCCUUCGGGUUGUAAACCUCUUUCAGUAGGGAAGAAGCGAAAGUGACGGUACCUGCAGAAGAAGCACCGGCUAACUACGUG